AGGUGCUUACCAUUACCAUACAUAAUCUAAACAAGGAUGACUUGACAGCUAUCAAAGAUUCUAUUGGUCAUAGUUUGAAGUCUCUGCAUUCCUUAACAAGUGGUGUCGGAAGUCUCUGACUUAUAAGAAACGAAACUUCAAACGUAACUUUUUGCACUUCAUAGAUACAAUGGCUUUAAUCAGAAGACGAAAAAGUGGAAAAGCACUAUAUUUCCAUUCUUUAUAUUUCCAUGAAAAAGAUAUUUAUAUAUUCUGAAAUUUAAAUAAAUAUUUAAACAUUG
This is a long non-coding RNA of Argiope bruennichi, 281 nucleotides long. RefSeq lists it as uncharacterized. The record is from RefSeq and is a predicted model, not a curated record. The transcript is spliced from 6 exons. NCBI's taxonomy places the organism in Eukaryota, Metazoa, Arthropoda, Arachnida, Araneae, Araneidae.